This 421-nucleotide ribosomal RNA is filed under the name uncultured bacterium. Its description in RNAcentral is "bacterial SSU rRNA". It matches the Rfam family "Bacterial small subunit ribosomal RNA", at positions 355 to 774 of the family's 1533-position model. The record is from RNAcentral.
UAAGGAAUAUUGGUCAAUGGACGCAAGUCUGAACCAGCCAUGCCGCGUGAAGGAUGAAGGUCCUCUGGAUUGUAAACUUCUUUUAUCUGGGACGAAAACGGGAUUUUUAUCUCAAUUGACGGUACCAGAGGAAUAAGCACCGGCUAACUCCGUGCCAGCAGCCGCGGUAAUACGGAGGGUGCGAGCGUUAUCCGGAUUUCCUGGGUUUAAAGGGUGCGUAGGUGGGCUUAUAAGUCAGUGGUGAAAUCUCCGAGCUUAACUUGGAAACUGCCGUCGAUACUAUAGGUCUUGAAUUAUCUGGAGGUAAGCGGAAUAUGUCAUGUAGCGGUGAAAUGCUUAGAUAUGACAUAGAACACCAAUUGCGAAGGCAGCUUACUACAUAUAAAUUGACGCUGAGGCACGAAAGCGUGGGGAUCAAACA